Molecule: ribosomal RNA, 408 nt
Filed under: Triticum aestivum (bread wheat)
Lineage: Eukaryota; Viridiplantae; Streptophyta; Magnoliopsida; Poales; Poaceae
Description: partial small subunit ribosomal RNA
Source: RNAcentral
AUGAACGCACUCGUCAGCGCGGCGGUAUGGGUGGUCGGCAAGGCAUUGGCCCCUGUUGCCGAUGGCCUGCUGGAGGCUUGGGGUGCUACAAAGAACUUGGGUCCAAACAUUGAGGCCCUAAGGAUGGAGCUUCUGCUUGUGAAGGCCACACUUGAACUCGCUGACGGCAAGCAGAUCCGUGGCCAGGCCACGGAGGAGCUGCUGGGGAAGCUGCGAGACUCAGCGCACUGUGCCGAGGACUUGUUGGACGAGCUGGACUACUUCUGCAUCCACGACCAGCUUCACGGCACAACGAGGCUGCCGACCACCAUGCCAAGGGCGGUGUCCACAACCUUGCCUUCAAUGCACGUCAGGCAGCAAAAGCUCUGCUUUGUUUAUCCACGAGCUCUUCUGCUGCCAACCAUAUAG